RNAcentral lists this ribosomal RNA (447 nucleotides) under uncultured bacterium. RNAcentral describes it as "partial 16S ribosomal RNA". It matches the Rfam family "Bacterial small subunit ribosomal RNA", at positions 329 to 793 of the family's 1533-position model. The record is from RNAcentral.
UUCCAGACUCCUACGGGAGGCAGCAGUGGGGGAUAUUGCACAAUGGGGGGAACCCUGAUGCAGCGACGCCGCGUGGGUGAAGAAGCGCCUCGGCGCGUAAAGCCCUGUCAGCAGGGAAGAAAAUGACGGUACCUGAAGAAGAAGCCCCGGCUAACUACGUACCAGCAGCCGCGGUAAUACGUAGGGGGCAAGCGUUAUCCGGAUUUACUGGGUGUAAAGGGAGCGUAGACGGCGGCGCAAGUCCGGAGUGAAAGCCCACGGCCCAACCGUGGGACUGCUCUGGAAACUGUGCGGCUUGAGUGUGGGAGGGGCAGGCGGAAUUCCUAGUGUAGCGGUGAAAUGCGUAGAUAUCAGGAGGAACACCGGUGGCGAAGGCGGCCUGCUGGACUGCGACUGACGUUGAGGCCCGAAAGCGUGGGGAGCAAACAGGAUUAGAUACCCCCGUAC